GGACCCAAGGGGUCAUCUUUAUUAUCACAAAGAUUCUGAAGAGAAGUGAGAUGUCUGACUUAAGAUCAUAUUACUUAUUACUGGCAAAGUCUGAGUUUGAAUGAUUUCCUUAUUUUCUGAUUCAACACAUUUAUUCUCACUUUUCCAUGAUAAACCUGUUUACUAAGGAUUUAGCUGUUAUUUUUCCAGUGCUAUAAAUGAAUGUGAAUAUUUAUGUUAUAAACUUUUCAGAAAUGGAUGUGGCUGUGCAUUAACACCAGAUCUCACCAGGGAAGCUGCUUCCCAUGUGGGGCUGCCUCAUCCAUGUCUGCUUUUGGGGCCUGGUGUUCAACUGUCAACUGGGAACCAGGCAAACAAUACACUACUGGAAGAGAAUUAGAACAUCUGCCUAGAGUCCCUUAGUUAAUGAAAAAGGUCCCAAAUGUGGGGAGCAGGAGCCCAAUCCGUUCUUCUUGAGUCGUUAAAAUACUACUGGCUAAAGUACUGCUGUGAUAAAGUGCUGUGGAGCGGGGUGACUAAGAGAAGGACGAACACACAUCAAAGGAACAAGCAUAACCUGGAUUCUGUAGCUGUAUAAAAUCCCACCUCUCCUAUGAUAUGAUUCAUUAUUAUAAACUGAGGCCAAGAGAAGGAAACAAACGGACUAUAUAUACAGUGACUGAAUAAAUACCAUGUGCCAGCAGUGACCUAGGACCUUUACACGCAUGAUCCCAUUACGUCCUUGCAAGAAGCCUGUAAGGUGCUGAUUCCAAAAGCAUUCUGUAAUAAACACCCCACAGGCUAGUCUUUGUCUCAGAGACUGCUUUCCAGGGAACUUCAUCAGAAGGAGUCAUCUAAAGUCCCCUUUUGUGUUUGAAGUUUGUCUUCAUAAACCGUUUGGGCUGAGAUAUGAGGAUGAUCACAAGUUUAAAGCUUAAACAGCAAAGGAGAAGCUCAAGGAUAUACCCCUUGAAAUAAAAGCACCUGAUUCAAAGAACCGGUGUAUAUUCUAUGGCCAAUCAACAUUGCUCAACAUUGAUCUCCUUGGCUUCGUGCAUCAAUUGAGUUAAUUUUGCUUAAACCUUGUUUGCAUCUGUCAUUUGCCUGCUUGGAAACCUCUCACACAUACUUGGGCCUUAUGGCCCAAGCUGAACUCUCUCGACUGUCAGUCAAGCCCUGCCCACUUCCACCUGGAUGCUGAUGAGGAAGAGAGUAUGAAGAAGGCAACUUGCUUCUGAACAUUCUUAGCCUGCUGCAUGUCAUUGGUGAGAACUAAUCAGAUGACCCUACCUAAGUUGCAAGAGCCUCUGGGAAAUGUAGUCCUUUGCGGGGCAGCCACUUCCCUUAUGCCCUAAUGCCAAAUAGAUUUUUGCUAGAAGGUUAGUGAUUUCUGUUAGUAAGAUGAACGGAACUAAAUUAGAACCUAGACUUCUGACUCUGAAAUCUAGGCCUUUAACUACCAUGUUGUUUGGAGGCUAAACACCUAGUUUCCCUACAGAUUACAAAUGGUUAAUGGAUUUCAGCCAAGCACCACUAAGCCAUUAACCUUAAUACCCUAUGAGGUUGUGUUGUCUGUUAGAAACUCUGGGUUGGUGCCAAUGCCUUCUGAAGUUCCACUUCCCCCAGCUCCUGAGCCAUCUGCGUGCCAGUGAGAGCCCAGAAAUCCGCCUGGAGCCCCUCAGUGGGUAGAGUUAGGGAAGAAGCUACUGCCUUCCAAGUGAAAUCGCCAUAGCUCUGAGGGUCCCAGGUCUCAUGUGAAGGAGAAAGAAGCCAUUCUUGAGGGUUGGAAUUGAUUGAGAUGAUGAUUGAAUUCGAGCUCCAAGGCCUUGCCCUGUCUCAUCAAUUAUACUACCACUUUUCCUGAGGGCCACCAGACAGAUGUUCCUUCACUUCAGUAGGGAGAUACCCAGAGUGUAUUUGGUACUUGAUUCCCAAGCAUAAGUGGGUUUCUCCUUCUUAGAUUGAAUAUUGGGAUUAGGUCUUUUGACUGGUUUAUUGCCCAGAGCAUCGUCUAGAAUGUUGCUAUUGGAGUCCUGAGGCUUUUCUUUUUUAAUUCUUUUUUAAGUUCAUGAAUUUAAUUUGAGAGAGGCAGAGACAGUGCAAGUGGGGGAGGGGCAGCGAGAGAUGGAGGGAGAAUCCUAAGCAUGCUUUGUACUGCCAGUGCAGAGCCCGAUGUGGGGCAAACCCACGAAACCACAAGAUCAUGACCUGAGCCAAAACCAAGAGUUGGGCACUUAACCGACUCAGCCAUCCGGGUGCCCCAAUGCCCUGAGUUUUAAAAGAAUAAUCCUAUAGGGGCGUCUGGGUGGCUUGGUCGGUUAAGCCUCCGACUUCGGCUCAGGUCAUGAUCUCACGGUCCGUGAGUUCGAGCCCCGCGUCGGGCUCUGUGCUGACCGCUCAGAGCCUGGAGCCUGUUUCGGAUUCUGUGUCUCCCUCUCUCUCUGCCCCUCCCGUUCAUUCUCUGUCUCUCUCUGUCUCAAAAAUAAAUAAACGUUAAAAAAAAAUUUUUUUUUGAAAAAAAAAAAAAAAGAACAAUCCUAUAAUUAGGGAAGAGGGUGUUCUGGCAGAUGUCAGCCAUGUCUUCUAGAAGAACCGAGAACAAUGCUGCUACUG
Molecule: long non-coding RNA, 2592 nt
Organism: Acinonyx jubatus (cheetah)
Lineage: Eukaryota; Metazoa; Chordata; Mammalia; Carnivora; Felidae
Exons: 9
Source: RefSeq, a predicted model, not a curated record